UCCAGACUCCUACGGGAGGCAGCAGUGGGGGAUAUUGCACAAUGGGGGGAACCCUGAUGCAGCGACGCCGCGUGGGUGAAGGAGCGUUUCGGCGCGUAAAGCCCUAUCGGCAGGGAAGAAGGAGGACGGUACCUGACUAAGAAGCCCCGGCUAACUACGUGCCAGCAGCCGCGGGAAUACGUAGGGGGCAAGCGUUAUCCGGAUUUACUGGGUGUAAAGGGGGCGCAGACGGCAGCGCAAGCCAGGAGUGAAAGCCCGGGGCCCAACCCCGGGACUGCUCUUGGAACUGCGCGGCUGGAGUGCAGGAGGGGCAGGCGGAAUUCCUGGUGUAGCGGUGAAAUGCGUAGAUAUCAGGAGGAACCCCGGUGGCGAAGGCGGCCUGCUGGGCAGUAACUGACGUUGAGGCUCGAAAGCGUGGGGAGCAAACAGGAUUAGAUGCCCGUGUAAA
RNAcentral lists this ribosomal RNA (448 nucleotides) under uncultured bacterium. RNAcentral's name for it is "bacterial SSU rRNA". It matches the Rfam family "Bacterial small subunit ribosomal RNA", at positions 330 to 793 of the family's 1533-position model. The record is from RNAcentral.